AGCAGCCGCGGUAAUUCCAGCUCCAAUAGCGUAUAUUAAAGUUGUUGCAGUUAAAAAGCUCGUAGUUGAAUUUCGGAAUUUGUCGGUUGGUCGGGCUUCAUUGUCCGCACUGGCCUGAUAGAUUCCUACCUUCUGAAUAACCAGCAUGCUAUUAAGUUAGUGCGUUGGGGAAGCAGAGCUAUUACCUUGAAAAAAUUAGAGUGCUUAAAGCAGGCUUGUGCUUGAAUAGAUUAGCAUGGAAUAAUAAAAUAGGACGGCAUGGUUCUAUUUUGUUGGUUUCUAGGAUCACCGUAAUGAUUAAUAGGGAUAGUUGGGGGCAUUAGUAUUCAAUUGUCAGAGGUGAAAUUCUUGGAUUUAUUGAAGACUAACUACUGCGAAAGCAUUUGCCAAGGAUGUUUUCAUUAAUCAAGAACGAAAGUUAGGGGAUCGAAGACGAUCAGAUACCGUCGUAGUCUUAACCAUAAACUAUAGCCGACUAGGAAUCAGACGAUGUUAAUUUUUAAUGUACUCGUUUGG
This 516-nucleotide ribosomal RNA is filed under the name uncultured Acaulospora. RNAcentral describes it as "SSU rRNA". It matches the Rfam family "Eukaryotic small subunit ribosomal RNA", at positions 569 to 1083 of the family's 1831-position model. Lineage: Eukaryota; Fungi; Glomeromycota; Glomeromycetes; Diversisporales; Acaulosporaceae. The record is from RNAcentral.